This 206-nucleotide long non-coding RNA is filed under the name Lathyrus oleraceus (garden pea). RNAcentral describes it as "Pisum sativum (pea) long non-coding RNA (PSAT_LNC036036)". The record is from RNAcentral. Lineage: Eukaryota; Viridiplantae; Streptophyta; Magnoliopsida; Fabales; Fabaceae.
UUGUCUAUAUUUUAUUGAACGGCCUCAGAUAGGUGUGACUACUAUAUUAGUCCACUUACGAUUUCUUAACAUAGCGCUAAAUUGCCUUAUGGCACACUAACUCUAACUAUUGACUAUUAACUUUUAAUUCUUGCACUUUACAUUAAUGCAAUUUAAUAUUCUUGUACAUAUUAUUCAUUUGCUUUUUCCCUUUGCUCACUUGAGCU